RNAcentral lists this unclassified non-coding RNA (179 nucleotides) under sea anemone metagenome. RNAcentral describes it as "partial contains small subunit ribosomal RNA and internal transcribed spacer 1". The record is from RNAcentral.
ACAUUAGGGGAGUAAGUUUGGCUCGUCAUAUUGAAUAUUUUCAUUAUAAUUUUAAUUAUUAAAAAAUAAUUAGUAUUUUUUAUUUUUAUAAAAAUAUUGAAAGUAUCAAUAUUAAGGACAGAUUUAUAACCGUAAUGAAGUCGUAACAAGGUAAUCGUAGGUGAACCUGCAGAAGGAUC